This 253-nucleotide ribosomal RNA is filed under the name uncultured bacterium. RNAcentral describes it as "partial 16S ribosomal RNA". It matches the Rfam family "Bacterial small subunit ribosomal RNA", at positions 524 to 776 of the family's 1533-position model. The record is from RNAcentral.
UACGUAGGUCCCGAGCGUUAUCCGGAUUUACUGGGUGUAAAGGGAGCGUAGACGGCUGUGCAAGCCAGAUGUGAAAGCCCGGGGCUCAACCCCGGGACUGCAUUUGGAACUGUGUAGCUGGAGUGUCGGAGAGGCAGGCGGAAUUCCUAGUGUAGCGGUGAAAUGCGUAGAUAUUAGGAGGAACACCAGUGGCGAAGGCGGCCUGCUGGACGAUGACUGACGUUGAGGCUCGAAAGCGUGGGGAGCAAACAGG